RNAcentral lists this ribosomal RNA (253 nucleotides) under uncultured bacterium. RNAcentral's name for it is "partial 16S ribosomal RNA". It matches the Rfam family "Bacterial small subunit ribosomal RNA", at positions 524 to 776 of the family's 1533-position model. The record is from RNAcentral.
UACGGAGGGUGCAAGCGUUAAUCGGAAUUACUGGGCGUAAAGGGUGCGUAGGCGGUUGUUUAAGUCUGUUGUGAAAUCCCCGGGCUCAACCUGGGAAUGGCAAUGGAUACUGGGCAGCUAGAGUGUGUCAGAGGAUGGUGGAAUUCCCGGUGUAGCGGUGAAGUGCGUAGAGAUCGGGAGGAACAUCAGUGGCGAAGGCGGCCAUCUGGGACAACACUGACGCUGAAGCACGAAAGCGUGGGGAGCAAACAGG